Pelodiscus sinensis (Chinese soft-shelled turtle) is the source of this 1424-nucleotide non-coding RNA. NCBI's taxonomy places the organism in Eukaryota, Metazoa, Chordata, Testudines, Trionychidae. The record is from RefSeq and is a predicted model, not a curated record.
UAGCGUGCUUGCAGACCAGAGUUCAGCAGCUGAUAUAUUAACUCUGACCAGAGCUGUUGACAUGGCAAAGGGUGUGUGCUUCCAUUUGCAAUAGACUGCACCAAAGACUGCUGGCACAGAGAGAACUACGAAGGUUGCCCAAAGGAAUUCUGGAAUAUAUCUGGAAGACUUUUGGAACCCAAGCCAAUCUGCGGCCACUUACUCACAGGAAAACAAUAGGGAAGGCCCAUAUCAGAAGUGUCUCAUAGAUGAAUGACUACUAAAGUCUUCCUGGAGCGUGGUUUGGUAUGUGGAGGUCAGUCCCAAACAGUUAAUAAGUCCUCCAGCUAUCGGGUUGGCUGCCAGUGUUGUUUUUGGUGUGAAAUCUAUGGUACAGAUUGAUCUGAGAGAGAAUAAUAGACUAGAGUACUUCUCCAGUUGCUGCAUAUUCCUGGUCAGCCUGGUUGAAGAGGUGGAGCUGUGACACUCUGCACUUCUUCCUUGCCCACCAUUGAGGAUGAAGUGGAAGGGCAUGCCAGGCGUAAUUCUCCAUUGCCUUGAACCUCGUGAAGUCAGUGACACCAGAGCAAAGUGGGAAAAUGCUACCAUUAUGUUCCAGCUGGUUGUUGUCCAAAUCCAAGAAUCAUUCCAAUGAAGAAAAGGUGCAUAAGACUCACUUCACAUGGGUGUGACUACACUAUUAGUACCUGCUGGCAAAUAGUAUUUUUUUUCUUUUUUUCCAUAUAUUUGAUUCAUGCAUAUAUAUUAACUAUUCUUUAGAAUCUUUAUUUUCAAAAAAAGAGUAUGUCUAAAUUCUAAGGGCCAGACCACCAGUCUUUGACCAGUAAGCUGCCCUAUUCAGGAAUUUAUUCAUUAUACUGUUUCUAAUAGUAACUCUGGGAUGCUUUUACAUCCAUAAAAUUCCAGAUAUUCUUGGAAACCAUCUCUGAGAUAGAUAGAUAGAUAGAUAGAUAGAUAGAUAGAUAGAUAGAUAGAUAGAUAGAUAGAUAGAUAGCAAAGAGUGGUAAUGUAUCAAUUUUUUUAUUUCUGUAUUUUCUAUUUCUGUAACCUGUGCUGUACUAAUCUCUGAUUAAUACUCGUAGAAUAAAUAAUUCCAUCUGAGUGUGUUAUUUUGACAAUCUUGAGUCAUUAACUCAACAAAACAAAGUACGAAACAGUGGAGAAGAAGGCCCAUUAGAUUUAUGUGAGCAUGACUACUUAUGAGCUUGUUGUGUGGUCUGUGCAGGUCACAAUAAAGAAAUUUGACUUACAGUAGAAAUACAUAGGGAAUGCUGUCAUGUAUUUGCAUGCUACAUCUAACUAAAAGAAAAGGGAUUUUUAUUUUUUAGAUUUUAUACUGUUUAUUAAUAAAGUUUAAGGGGAGAGUUAGGACACAAGUAGAUUGUAGGUGCCCAAUUCCCAUUAAUUUUCAACAGGAUUUGAGU